RNAcentral lists this ribosomal RNA (469 nucleotides) under uncultured bacterium. RNAcentral's name for it is "partial 16S ribosomal RNA". It matches the Rfam family "Bacterial small subunit ribosomal RNA", at positions 28 to 507 of the family's 1533-position model. The record is from RNAcentral.
GACGAACGCUGGCGGCGUGCUUAACACAUGCAAGUCGAACGGAAAGGCCCUGCUUGCAGGGUGCUCGAGUGGCGAACGGGUGAGUAACACGUGGGUGAUCUGCCCCUUACUUUGGGAUAAGCCUGGGAAACUGGGUCUAAUACUGGAUAGGACCAUGCUGUAGGUGGUGUGGUGGAAAGAUUAGUGUCGGUAAGGGAUGAGCUCGGGGCCUAUCAGCUUGUUGGUGGGGUAAUGGCCUACCAAGGCGUCGACGGGUAGCCGGCCUGAGAGGGUGGACGGCCACAUUGGGACUGAGAUACGGCCCAGACUCCUACGGGAGGCAGCAGUGGGGAAUAUUGCACAAUGGGCGCAAGCCUGAUGCAGCGACGCCGCGUGGGGGAUGACGGCCUUCGGGUUGUAAACUCCUUUCAGCCAUGACGAAGCCCUUGUGGUGACGGUAGUGGUAGAAGAAGCACCGGCUAACUACGUG